This 440-nucleotide ribosomal RNA is filed under the name Bokermannohyla feioi. RNAcentral's name for it is "Bokermannohyla sp. f TOB-2022 partial large subunit ribosomal RNA". It matches the Rfam family "Bacterial large subunit ribosomal RNA", at positions 1952 to 2547 of the family's 2925-position model. Lineage: Eukaryota; Metazoa; Chordata; Amphibia; Anura; Hylidae. The record is from RNAcentral.
GAAGGUAGCGUAAUCACUUGUUCUUUAAAUGAGGACUAGUAUGAAUGGCACCACGAGGGUUAAACUGUCUCCUUUUUUUGAUCAGUGAAACUAAUCUUCCCGUGAAAAAGCGGGAAUUUAUUUAUAAGACGAGAAGACCCUAUGGAGCUUUAAACAAACUAACAUACGCUAUCAACUUUUAACCUUCAGAGCCAAAAUAAAAAUAUAGCAAUCUGAUUAUAAGUUUUCGAUUGGGGUGAUCACGGAGUAAAAAACAACCUCCACGUCGAACGGAUUAAACUCCUGAACAAAAAGCUACAACUUUAUGUACUAAUACAUUAACGCCUUUGACCCAUUUUUUGAUCAACGAACCAAGUUACCCUAGGGAUAACAGCGCAAUCUACUUUGAGAGCCCCUAUCGACAAGUGGGUUUACGACCUCGAUGUUGGAUCAGGGUAUCC